GAAAUGCGAUAAGUAAUGUGAAUUGCAGAAUUCAGUGAAUCAUCGAAUCUUUGAACGCACAUUGCGCCCGCCAGCACUCUGGCGGGCAUGCCUGUUCGAGCGUCAUUUCAACCCUCAGAACCCCUUGCGGGAUCUGGCGUUGGGGAUUGGCAUCCAGCCAGCCCCGAAAUCUAGUGGCGGUCCCUCCGCGACCUCCCCUGUGCAGUAGCGAUACCUCGCAGCGGGACAGCGGUCUGACACGCCGUAAAACCCCCAACUUCUCAAGGUUGACCUCGAAUCAGGUAGGAAUACCCGCUGAACUUAAGC
Molecule: unclassified non-coding RNA, 306 nt
Filed under: plant metagenome
Description: partial contains 5.8S ribosomal RNA, internal transcribed spacer 2, and large subunit ribosomal RNA
Rfam family: 5.8S ribosomal RNA (bases 1-105)
Source: RNAcentral